Thunnus maccoyii (southern bluefin tuna) is the source of this 409-nucleotide long non-coding RNA. RefSeq lists it as uncharacterized. The record is from RefSeq and is a predicted model, not a curated record. Lineage: Eukaryota; Metazoa; Chordata; Actinopteri; Scombriformes; Scombridae. The transcript has 4 exons.
UUCAGAGUUCACAGUCAUAAAGUGUGGCUUGAGUUGCAGGAAUGUGACACACUUUCAUCGUUGCUAUUGCACAGUAACAAUAAUCAACACAGCACAGUAAUUUGGUUUCAACUGUGUUCAAAGCUGCUAUGCAUGUUGGAGUAUGAAAAGCUGUUGAAUUGUACUUUUUCUUUACUUUCAUAUACUGUGUUCACAGAAACAUUGCUCAGAUCUUGUUCCCUGGAUCUUUGAGGACUUUUGGUGUGGAUGAUGUUCAGCAAGGUCUGAUGAAGGGAGGUUGCAAGAUCAACAAUGGCAACGAGAACAAAACACACUGAAGGAUGAUGUUGAAGACGUUCCCUCCAAGAAGUCGCAGCAUGUCACAUCAGUCACCAGCUCUGCAGGAUCAGACAAUACUGAAAACAAAAUG